Molecule: long non-coding RNA, 584 nt
Organism: Cotesia glomerata
Lineage: Eukaryota; Metazoa; Arthropoda; Insecta; Hymenoptera; Braconidae
Exons: 2
Source: RefSeq, a predicted model, not a curated record
UAUUAUUGUAAACUUUUUAUUUAUUUUUUGCUGUAACUAUCACUGGAACUUGAUACACAAGAAAUAAAUAAAACACGCGAAAGUCUAUAUGGGAAGAUUGCAUGAUCGUAGCGGAAACAAAUAACUUUCUUCGACACUGCCGAUGCGCAUACGUUAACACUCAUAAUUAUAUCACGUAAAUUAAAAUAUAUAAUUAUAAGUAAUUACUAAAUAAGUGUUUAGAAAUAAGUAAAAUAUUAAGAAAAAAAUAAUAAAAGUGAAUUCGAUAGUGAGAGCACACAAAUGAAAUUAAUUACCCAUGCUUGACGUUGUUCAGGACUGGAGGCUUGAACAGGUUGAACAGUGACUUGGUCGACGUUGAUAAUCUACAAAUUAAUGACAAUGCAAACGAAAAGCAUGCGGUGCAAUAAGGGUCCAAAAUAACUAGAACAAGUAAAUACCUGGCAGUUGGGAGUGGAGUUGCCCGAGGACUUGGUGAUGGCACAGGAGAAACACUACUGCUACUAGGACUAUCUGAGUGCAAUGAAUUUGUUGACUGAUAGUGUACUGAACGCCUGAAAUAAAUUUUUAUUAUUUUAUUAUUA